RNAcentral lists this ribosomal RNA (497 nucleotides) under uncultured bacterium. RNAcentral describes it as "partial 16S ribosomal RNA". It matches the Rfam family "Bacterial small subunit ribosomal RNA", at positions 28 to 507 of the family's 1533-position model. The record is from RNAcentral.
GAUGAACGCUGGCGGCGUGCCUAAUACAUGCAAGUCGAGCGAACGGACGAGAAGCUUGCUUCUCUGAUGUUAGCCGCGCACGGGUGAGUAACACGUGUAUAACCUACCUAUAAGACUGGGAUCACUUCGAGACACCGGCUCUAAUCCCGGAUAAUCUUUUGAACCGCAUGGUUCAAAAGUAAGAGACGGUCUUGCUGUCACUUCUCGCUGGAUCCGGGCUGCUUUAGCUAGUUGGUAAGGUAACGGCUUAGCACGGCAACUAUGCAUAGCCGACCUGUGAGAGGGGUAGGCGGCACGGGAAGUUGAACGCGGUCAAUGGUCCUACGAGAGGCAGCAGUAGGGAAUCUGCCGCAAUGGGCGGAAGCCUGACGGAGCAACGGCGAGUGAGAGAUGAAGGUCUUCGGAUCGUAAAACUCUGUUAUUGGGGAAGAACAUAUUUGUAAGUAACUGUGCACAUCUUGACGGUACCUAAUCAGAAAGCCACGGCUAACUACGUG